This 479-nucleotide ribosomal RNA is filed under the name Segatella oris. RNAcentral's name for it is "bacterial SSU rRNA". It matches the Rfam family "Bacterial small subunit ribosomal RNA", at positions 28 to 495 of the family's 1533-position model. The record is from RNAcentral. Lineage: Bacteria; Pseudomonadati; Bacteroidota; Bacteroidia; Bacteroidales; Prevotellaceae.
GAUGAACGCUGGCUACAGGCUUAACACAUGCAAGUCGAGGGGAAACGACGGGGAAGCUUGCUUCCCCGGGCGUCGACCGGCGCACGGGUGAGUAACGCGUAUCCAACCUGCCUCUGACUGAGGGAUAACCCGUCGAAAGUCGGCCUAAUACCUCAUGGCAUCGUCUGCGGGCAUCCAACGACGAUUAAAGAUUUCAUCGGUCAGAGAUGGGGAUGCGUCUGAUUAGCUUGUUGGCGGGGUAACGGCCCACCAAGGCUACGAUCAGUAGGGGUUCUGAGAGGAAGGUCCCCCACAUUGGAACUGAGACACGGUCCAAACUCCUACGGGAGGCAGCAGUGAGGAAUAUUGGUCAAUGGGCGAGAGCCUGAACCAGCCAAGUAGCGUGCAGGAAGACGGCCCUAUGGGUUGUAAACUGCUUUUAUGCGGGGAUAAAGUGAGGGACGUGUCCUUCAUUGCAGGUACCGCAUGAAUAAGGACGG